GUACGGUGUAGCAAUACACAGUGGCGAACGGGAGAGUAAUGAAUCGCUAACGUGCCCCGGACUCUGGGAUAGCCAGCCGAAAGGCUGGGUAAUACCAGAUGAGACCACGAACAGGCAUCUGUUUGUGCUCAAAGGUCCGCCGGUCUGGGAGCGGGCGAUUUCGUAUCAGCUAGUUGGUAGGGUAACGGCCUACCAAGGCGACGACGCGUAGCCGGACUGAGAGGUUGGCCGGCCUCAUUGGGACUGAGACACUGCCCAGACUCCUACGGGGGGCUGCAGUAACGAAUCUUCCGCAAUGCACGAAAGUGUGACGGAGCGACGCCGCGUGUGGGACGAAGUCCUUCGGGAUGUAAACCACUGUCAGGGGUAAGAAAGUUCUGAUCUACCCCAGAGGAAGGCACGGCUAACUCUGUGCCAGCAGCCGCGGUAAGACAGAGGUGCCGAGCGUUAGGCGGAAUCACUGGGCUUAAAGCGUGUGUAGGCGGGUUUCUAAGUACCUUGUGAAAUCCCACGGCUCAACCGUGGAACUGCUUGGUAUACUGGGAAUCUUGAGCCACUUAGGGGCUACCGGAACAAAUGGUGGAGCGGUGAAAUGCGUAGAUAUCAUUUGGAACGCCAAUGGUGAAAACAGGUAGCUGGGAGUGUGCUGACGCUGAGACACGAAAGCCAGGGGAGCGAACGGGAUUAGAUACCCCCGGUAGUCCUGGCCGUAAACGAUGUCGACUAGAUCGUAGUGCCUCUGACGGUAUACGGUCGAAGCAAAAUGCUA
This 769-nucleotide ribosomal RNA is filed under the name uncultured bacterium. Its description in RNAcentral is "bacterial SSU rRNA". It matches the Rfam family "Bacterial small subunit ribosomal RNA", at positions 64 to 860 of the family's 1533-position model. The record is from RNAcentral.